RNAcentral lists this ribosomal RNA (776 nucleotides) under uncultured Neocallimastigales. Its description in RNAcentral is "partial large subunit ribosomal RNA". It matches the Rfam family "Eukaryotic large subunit ribosomal RNA", at positions 23 to 632 of the family's 3401-position model. Lineage: Eukaryota; Fungi; Neocallimastigomycota; Neocallimastigomycetes; Neocallimastigales. The record is from RNAcentral.
GAGACUCUGUGCGCGUGCAUAUCAAUAAGCGGAGGAAAAGAAACUAACAAGGAUUCCCCUAGUAACGGCGAGUGAAGCGGGAAGAGCUCAAAUUUGAAAUCUUAAAGGGUUUCCCUUUACGAAUUGUAGUUUAAAGAAGUGUUUUCCGUUGGAGUUUCGGUAAAAGUUCUUUGGAAUAGGACAUCAUAGAGGGUGAGAAUCCCGUAUUUGACCGUUACUUUCCAGCUGUGUGAUACACUUUCAAAGAGUCGGAUUGUUUGGGAAUGCAGUCCAAAAUGGGUGGUAAAUUUCAUCUAAAGCUAAAUACUGGCGAGAGACCGAUAGCGAACAAGUACCGUGAGGGAAAGAUGAAAAGAACUUUGAAAAGAGAGUUAAACAGUACGUGAAAUUGUCAAAAGGGAAGCGUUUGACACCAGUGUUGUUUUCUCGAAAAUCAAUUAAAAAUGGCGGGAUGUUGUGUUGUAUUGACUUUAUCAGCUUUCUGCACUCUUUUUCCUGUCUUUUUUAAUGCACUUUUCGUUUAACAAGUCAACAUCAAUUUCUUUUGCUGUAAAAGAGUCAUUGGAAGGUGGCUUUCUUUUCGGAGAAAGUGUUUAUAGCCUUUGGCCUCUGCAGUCGGAGAGAUUGAGGUCUGCAGCGUAGAUCCUUCGGGGUUAGAUACAUUUGUGCUAAGUUAUAGCCUUUCAUAGACAACUUGUUGACUAUGAUCAGUCAUGUAGCUUACUCGCUUAUGCUAUUUUACCUACGCUUAGGAUGUUGAUCUGUAGUGCGUGCGC